AAAUUGUAGUAAUACUAAUUACGAAAGCAAAAAAUUAUGGCGGUAUUUUAAGCUUUUCAGAGGAAUUUGCUCUUUAAUGGAUAAAACACCUAAAUCUUACUUAAAUUAGUGCUUUUCAGUUUGUAUACCACUAUUAUAAUAAUAAUUUAUUAUUAUUAUUGAUAUUCUUGCAUUUAGAAGAAAAUUAAGUCAAGGUGCAGCAUAAAUUUAUGAAUGAAGUGAAUUACAUUUCUUUCUAGAAAAAAAAAAUUGAAAUAAGACAUUUAGGAUUUGAUAGUAAAAUUAAAAUACAAAGUUAAUUUGAAUUAGGCUCUAAAAUAUGUACACAUCGCCCGUC
Molecule: ribosomal RNA, 337 nt
Filed under: Hyalomma excavatum
Lineage: Eukaryota; Metazoa; Arthropoda; Arachnida; Ixodida; Ixodidae
Description: partial small subunit ribosomal RNA
Source: RNAcentral